RNAcentral lists this transfer RNA (69 nucleotides) under Marmota monax (woodchuck). RNAcentral's name for it is "tRNA.Ala". The record is from RNAcentral. Lineage: Eukaryota; Metazoa; Chordata; Mammalia; Rodentia; Sciuridae.
GUUUGUGGCUCAGUGGUAGAGUGCUUGCCUAGCUCAUAUGAGGCCCUGGGUUUGAUCCUCAGCAUCACA